GGGGCCGACUUGGUUUCGACGUGGGUUACAAAACCUGAGAUGCAUGCCGAGGAUGUCGCUAGGCCUCGUAAAAAAAGCGGCAAAUCAAUAGUUGCCAACGACGACAACUACGCUCUGGCCGCCUAACCCGGCCAGCCUCUGCUCCGGAACGUGCUCGUAAAGUCCGGGUGCCCGCAAGGGCGUGCAGGGGUCGACCCAGAACGAGAUCGCGCACACGCUUGCCCGGAGCCGCAGCGCUAAAUCCCACGGGACCGCCGCUCAACAUCCUGCCCGUCGGAUCGCGAACGGUUAAAUCGUAGACGCGGCUAAGCAUGUAGUAUCAAUGGCGGAGAGCUUGCGGACGCGGGUUCGAUUCCCGCCGGCUCCACCA
RNAcentral lists this transfer-messenger RNA (370 nucleotides) under Plasticicumulans acidivorans. Its description in RNAcentral is "Standard tmRNA". It matches the Rfam family "transfer-messenger RNA". From Rfam's summary of the family: Bacterial tmRNA, also known as 10Sa RNA or SsrA, is named for its dual tRNA and mRNA-like properties. Its role is to liberate the mRNA from a stalled ribosome. To accomplish this part of the tmRNA is used as a reading frame that ends in a translation stop signal. Lineage: Bacteria; Pseudomonadati; Pseudomonadota; Gammaproteobacteria; Candidatus Competibacteraceae. The record is from Rfam by way of RNAcentral.